UUUGACUUAUUGGUUGAAACUUCGAUAUUAGAAACCUUCGUUACCUCCACUAUUUAUAAAUCUUGUUCAAAUCAACACUUUCACGUUACCUGUCAAUCUUAUAUCUUUGAAAAUACUUGCCUUUGAUGCUAUUUUAGGAAUCGAUUGGUUAACUACUCAUCAUGCUUUUCGUAAGGUUGUUAGCUUUCAUAUUCCUAACCAACCUGUUAUGCGAAUUCAAGCAACCAAACCACUAAAGUCAAUCAUUGUCAUAUCAAGCCAUAAGUAAAGAGCCCCGGUCCUUUCGUUGUUGAUUUCCUUGUGUGGAAUGCACCGAAGCCAGACUUUCUGUAGGCAACGCUAUGAAUGACGAUGGCAAGUUGAUAGGUAUCA
This 372-nucleotide long non-coding RNA is filed under the name Panax ginseng (ginseng). RNAcentral's name for it is "long non-coding RNA (PGIN_LNC018664)". The record is from RNAcentral. Lineage: Eukaryota; Viridiplantae; Streptophyta; Magnoliopsida; Apiales; Araliaceae.